RNAcentral lists this ribosomal RNA (430 nucleotides) under uncultured bacterium. RNAcentral's name for it is "bacterial SSU rRNA". It matches the Rfam family "Bacterial small subunit ribosomal RNA", at positions 355 to 776 of the family's 1533-position model. The record is from RNAcentral.
UGAGGAAUAUUGCGCAAUGGGGGCAACCCUGACGCAGCGACGCCGCGUGGAUGAUGAAGGCCUUCGGGUCGUAAAAUCCUGUCAAGUGGAAAGAAGUGCAUGGUGGCUAAUACCUGCUGUGCUUGACGGUACCACUGAAGGAAGCACCGGCUAACUCCGUGCCAGCAGCCGCGGUAAUACGGAGGGUGCAAGCGUUGUUCGGAAUUACUGGGCGUAAAGCGCGCGUAGGCGGUUUUAUAAGUCAGAUGUGAAAGCCCAUGGCUCAACCAUGGACGUGCAUUUGAAACUGUGAGACUUGAGUAUUGGAGGGGGUGGUGGAAUUCCCGGUGUAGAGGUGAAAUUCGUAGAUAUCGGGAGGAAUACCAGUGGCGAAGGCGACCACCUGGCCAAAUACUGACGCUCAUGUGCGAAAGCGUGGGGAGCAAACAGG